RNAcentral lists this small RNA (771 nucleotides) under Pan troglodytes (chimpanzee). RNAcentral's name for it is "retained intron". The record is from RNAcentral. Lineage: Eukaryota; Metazoa; Chordata; Mammalia; Primates; Hominidae.
AUCGAAUGAAGAACACCAGAAAUUAUUUCUGUGGACAUUGGCUGAACAAUUAACACAUUUUAGCACUGAAGAAGGAACUUCAACCUAGUCUUUUUACGCACAAAAGGAGACAACAUUUUCACCAUAUUUCAGAAAGACUCAUUCUAUUAAAGGAAAGCCAAGAAACACACUUGUAAGCGAGUAGGGAGGAUUUUUCUGCAACAUAAGCUAUUUAAGGAGGUAUUAGUAAAAGAUGAUUAAUUGAAUUUAAUUAAAGCUUUAAAUCUAACAUCAGUGACUUAGGCCUUUCUUGGCUUGGUUCACAGGCUCUUAAAAACAUGGGUGAAAUUCUGAAAGCUGCAGGCUGUGACUUCACUAACGUGGUGAAAACAACUGUUCUUCUGGCUGACAUAAAUGACUUCAAUACUGUCAAUGAAAUCUACAAACAGUAUUUCAAGAGUAAUUUUCCUGCUAGAGCUGCUUACCAAGUUGCUGCUUUACCCAAAGGCAGCCGAAUUGAAAUUGAAGCAGUAGCUGUCCAAGGACCACUGACAACAGCAUCACUAUAAGUGGACCCAGUGCUGUGUAGUCUGGAAUUGUUAACAUUUUAAUUUUUACAAUUGAUGUAACAUCUUAAUUAACCUUUUAAUUUUCACAAUUGAUGACAGUGUGAGUUUGAUGAAAAUAUCUGAAGCUAUUAUGGAAAUACCAUGUAAUAGGGAGAGUUGAACAUGAAGAUUAGAGAAGGAAUCCAGUUACUUUUUUAAAUUACACCUGUGUGCACCUGUAUUA